UGGGAAUUCUAACACGUGUCUGAGAGGG
Molecule: non-coding RNA, 28 nt
Filed under: Homo sapiens (human)
Lineage: Eukaryota; Metazoa; Chordata; Mammalia; Primates; Hominidae
Source: RNAcentral